GACGAACGCUGGCGGCGUGCCUAACACAUGCAAGUCGAACGGAGAUUCAGAUGAAGCUUGCGAUUCUGAAUCUUAGUGGCGGACGGGUGAGUAACGCGUGGGUAAUCUGCCCUUAAGUGGGGGAUAACAGUCGGAAACGACUGCUAAUACCGCAUAAGCUGGCGGGAACACAUGUUUCUGUCAGGAAAGGUGGCCUCUUAACAAUGCUACCGCUUAAGGAUGAGCCCGCGUCUGAUUAGCUAGUAGGUGGGGUAAUGGCCUACCUAGGCGACGAUCAGUAGCCGGCCUGAGAGGGUGUACGGCCACACUGGAACUGAGACACGGUCCAGACUCCUACGGGAGGCAGCAGUGGGGAAUAUUGCGCAAUGGGGGAAACCCUGACGCAGCGACGCCGCGUGAGCGAAGAAGGCCUUCGGUUGUAAAGCGUCUGUCUGGAGGGACGAAGAAAGUAGACGGUACCUCCGGAGGAAGCCACGGCUAACUACGUGCCAGCAGCCGCGGU
Molecule: ribosomal RNA, 502 nt
Filed under: uncultured bacterium
Lineage: Bacteria
Description: bacterial SSU rRNA
Rfam family: Bacterial small subunit ribosomal RNA
Source: RNAcentral